RNAcentral lists this long non-coding RNA (725 nucleotides) under Homo sapiens (human). Its description in RNAcentral is "HSALNT0327620". Lineage: Eukaryota; Metazoa; Chordata; Mammalia; Primates; Hominidae. The record is from RNAcentral.
GCCCUCGAAGUAGAAGAGCACAUUCUGGUAGAGGGCGAACCACUUCUCGUGCCAGCGGCUCGCCUCGGCCGUCUUCUUACUCAGGAAGCCGCGCUUGGUGCCCUCCUUGCGCGCCAGAAAGGCCAGGCUCAGCUUUCUCAUCACUGAACUGGAGAUACAGGUAGUCCAAUCCACGAAAGUGUGAGAACCAUGAGCCUAGUCUCGACCUCAGGAGUUGCCUGAGGAAACUGAUGCUAAAAAUCCAAGUUGCAAAUCAAAAUAUUAGAAAAAUCAAGCCAUGCUCUAGACUUGGAAGCCCGACACUUAGAUCAUCUCUCUCUGAGCAGAGCCAGCUGUUGGCCCCCAUAGGAGUUGGAGACUUGGAAUCCCCUUUGGUGCAGAAACUAUUCCUUCAUGAGAAGAAGUCCUUAAAUAGGCUCUUUAGACAGGAGGCCACAUGUUGAAGGCAGCAGGGUCACAAGAUGGAAGAACCAGGGUCCCAGUAUCAUCGCUCCCUGCUUCAAGCUGCCAGGGGCAGCCUAACCCACAUGGCAUUAUGACAUAAGAAACAAAGUAACUAUUGUUUUAUUAAAUCAAUGAGAUAUUGGGCUUCUUGUUAUAGCAACUAGUAUAAAUUGCCCUGACUGAUACAUUAUGGAUUUAGAGUGCACUGUACUACAACUGUUUGUUGUAUUUUCAAAAUUGUGGUAUAACUGACUUACAAUAAACUUCAUAUAUUUAAAGAG